This 1410-nucleotide long non-coding RNA is filed under the name Equus caballus (horse). RNAcentral's name for it is "lncRNA (ENSECAG00000050822.1)". Lineage: Eukaryota; Metazoa; Chordata; Mammalia; Perissodactyla; Equidae. The record is from RNAcentral.
UGGAGAGCUCCUGGGAAGAGGACCAAUCACCACCGGAGCUGAAGAACAUCAUCUGUCUCCAGGCAGCCAGCUCCGUAACCUGAUUCAGAUGAAUUAAGAGCAUUAACUCAACUCAACAAGCAUUUGUUGAUUACAUGCUAUAAUCAUGGCACAAAGUAUUCAUCAAAUAACAUUCAGCUCAGCUGAUGAGUUCACCUGAGCAAUGGUGAAAGUCGAUCCAGACACGGAGGUAAUGUUGUGUAUUUUUCAGUGGAAAAUUAUGAGGGAGCAGUUUAUUUAAGAGAGCCAUUUAAAGCAACUGGUUCAUGCACAUAGGACUUGUUGGUGGCAAAGAAUAGGUGGGAAUGAUGUUAAAUGAAAAACAGAAUUAUUGUCUUUGCAAGGUCCAUCUGUUUCAUUAACUUUAUCAUUGUGAGAGGACAUGUGACUGGAUAUCAGUACCCAGGCUUUUGCAUCAGAAUAACGUGCUUGGUGACCACAACAGGAUUACUUACAGUUCUCCAAGUAUCUUUGUUUUCAUCUGUAAAAUGCUGAAAGAUUUUUUGUGAGAACAAAUCAUAGUACCUUAUGCCUAUUGUAAUUCAACAGACCUUAGUUCAAACCUCCCUUGAGAAAGCAGUGCUGGGUUUUCAGUGGGGAUAAAGUAAAUGGUGACAGGAAGGUGAGUCAGUGGAAUUCAUUUCAAAUAUGGAGGCACUCCAACUUUCACACACCAAACUCAUUUACACACACCUAAAAGCCAGAAAAUAUUGUAGCAGAUUGCAAAAAUAGCCACAAGUUCUUUGCAACUCAUUCUAUCAAGAAACGCAAUCUAUUAACCCGCCUCUUGAUUUGAGCCGCUACUGUGACUUGCCUUGACUAACAGAACAUAGGGGAAGUGACCUUGUGAGUCCAGGUUUAGACUCAAAAGGCCCUGUAGUUUCUCUCUUGCACUAGGGAGCCUUCCAGCACCUGUGCAUAAGCUUCAGUCAGCCUGCUGGACGAUGAAUCCACGUGGAGAGAGGCCCAGCAAGCCCAGCUGAACCAGUUGAGGCUGCAGACAUGUAAGAGAGGCCACUUGAGAACAUCUGAGCCCAGCCUAGAAUAUAAAGACUGCCCAGAAGCGACUAGAACAAGGAUCCUUGUGUGAUAGCUGGAUGAAGAAGGAAUAGGAGAAAAGGUUACGUUGAAGACAGACAGCUCAUCUCCUAUUCCUUAGUUGAUGACAGUGCCUUGCCGGGACUUUCCCUGCAUCCCCCGGGAAAUGAGAUCUGAGACCAGACAUUCAAUUUCCCAUGCAAGAUAAAAUUCUGAUCUGGCAUGGGUUUCUACGAAUUUUUUUUAACUGUUAUAUUAAUAGGUGAAAUUCUGGAGCACCGUCAAGAAAGAUUUUGAUCAUUUGCCAAAAUCUUGAGUAACUCCUGCGAGAUA